GACAUAGGUGGCGAACGUUAUCCGGAUUUAUUGGGCGUAAAGGAUGCGUAGAUGGUGGAAUAAGUUAUUGGUCGAGGUCAAGCUCAACUUGGCGGAAGCUGAUAAUACUGUUCUACUUGAGGGCAGGAGAGGUUGGCGGAAUUCUGUGUGGAGCGGUGAAAUGCGUUGAUCUACAGAGGAACACCAAAAAGGGCGAAGGCAGCUCUCUGGGACGGUACUGACGCUGAGACGCGAAAGCGUGGGGAGCGAACAGG
This 254-nucleotide ribosomal RNA is filed under the name uncultured bacterium. RNAcentral's name for it is "partial 16S ribosomal RNA". It matches the Rfam family "Bacterial small subunit ribosomal RNA", at positions 524 to 776 of the family's 1533-position model. The record is from RNAcentral.